This 27-nucleotide non-coding RNA is filed under the name Mus musculus (house mouse). The record is from RNAcentral. Lineage: Eukaryota; Metazoa; Chordata; Mammalia; Rodentia; Muridae.
UGAGAGUAAUGAGGUCGGAAAGAAGGG